Molecule: ribosomal RNA, 497 nt
Filed under: uncultured bacterium
Lineage: Bacteria
Description: partial 16S ribosomal RNA
Rfam family: Bacterial small subunit ribosomal RNA
Source: RNAcentral
GAUGAACGCUGGCGGCGUGCCUAAUACAUGCAAGUCGAGCGAACAGACGAGGAUCUGGCUCCUCUGACGUUAGCGGCGGACGGGUGAGUAACACGUGGAUAACCUACCUAUAAGACUGGGAUAACUUCGAGAAACCGGAGCUAAGACCGGGUAAUAUAUUUAACCGCAUGGUUCAAUAGUGAAUGACGGGUUUGCUGUCACUUAUAGAUUGAUCCGCGCCGCAUUAGCUAGUUGGUUAGGUAACGGCUUACCAAGGCGGCGAUGCGUAACCGACCCGUGAGGGUGAACGGCCACACUGAGAGUGAGAGGCGGCAUAGACUCUGACGGGAGGCAGAAGUAGGGACUCUUGCGAAAUGGGCGGAAGACUGACGGAGCAACGCAGCGUGAGUGAUGAAGCUCUGCGGAUCGUAAAACUGUGUUAGUAUGGAAGACCAAAUGUGUAAGUAACUAUGCACGUCUUGACGGUAGCUAAUAAGAAAGCCACGGCUAACUACGUG